Molecule: ribosomal RNA, 494 nt
Filed under: uncultured bacterium
Lineage: Bacteria
Description: partial 16S ribosomal RNA
Rfam family: Bacterial small subunit ribosomal RNA
Source: RNAcentral
GACGAACGCUGUCGGCGCGCCUAACACAUGCAAGUCGAACGGAAAGGCCUGCGUUCCUUUGUGUAUUGCGGUUACUCGAGUGUCGAACGGGUGAUUAACACGUUAGUGAUCUGCCCCCAACUUGGGUCUAAGCCUGGGAAACUUCGUCUAAUUCCCGCUGGGACUGCAUGGUGGUGCCUGUGGUGGACACCGAUUUUCUAGUGGUUGUGGCUGAGCUCGCGGCCUAUCAGCUUGUUGGUGGGGUAAUGGUCUACCAAGCCGGCGACGGGUAGCCGUCCUGAGAGGGGGGAAGGGCAGAGUGGGACGGAGAGACGGCGCAGAAUCCUACGGGAGGCAGCAGUGGGGAAGAUGGCAGAAGGGGCGAAAGCCUGAGGAAGCGCAGCGGCGUGGCGGAUGACGGAAUUCGGGUUGUAAACUCCAGGAGAAGGCGAGGAAGCUACGUGGUUGGAAGGGUGGUGACGGUAGUGGUAGAAGAAGCACCGGCUAACUACGUG